Arabidopsis lyrata subsp. lyrata is the source of this 2439-nucleotide RNA transcript. RefSeq lists it as uncharacterized. The record is from RefSeq and is a predicted model, not a curated record. Lineage: Eukaryota; Viridiplantae; Streptophyta; Magnoliopsida; Brassicales; Brassicaceae. The transcript is spliced from 15 exons.
CCCAAUCCAAAUUUCUAUCGAAUCCACGCGCCUCUAUCUUUUUUCAGUACAAUCGACAUUAACAUCUUUCAUCAAGCUCAGUCCACUCUUCUCAUGAAACUCCAUCAUCGUCGACCUUGACCCAGAUAGGUUUCAGACGAAGCCCAUUAUUGUAAUCUGCUGCUGGAGUUUACUUGUCUGUAUCUUCUUCUUGUUGGGUCACUGUAUCUUCUUGCUAUGAGAUUGCUAUAAAAAUCCAGGACUGAUCAAAAUGUUUCCCCUGUGCUCGGCCACAAGCUGCCAUUACCAUUCUCAGAUUUUAUUUCCUGGCAAUUGGCGAGGCUGUUCUUCCUUCAGGAGAGAGUUGAUUCACAGAUACAGUUCUGGUGACAAUGCCUUCUUUCGUAUCUCUAAUGGAACACGCCUGCAGAAGACUUUCUUACCUCAAGCCACUGGGAGUUUCUUCACCGGUACUAUCGAGAAAGUAGAGCAACCAGUAUCAACAUUCAGAAGUUUGUGCCAGAAUGAGUUGGACAGAAUAAACGUUUAUGACUUGAGUGAAGCUGUUGUAGCGGGUGAUGGGGGACUGGCAUAUGUAGAUGGAGAAGAUGUUUUCCCUGCUGAAGCUGUUGUAGCAGAUGUUUCCCCUGUUGAAGCUGUUGUACCAGAUGUUUCUCCUGUUGAAGCUGUUGUACCAGAUGUUUCCCGUGUUGAAAGCCCUUCUGCUGAGACUUUAACCGAAAAGAGCAGUAGCCUUAUAGACUCGGUUGAGUCGGGAACCAAAUUGAGUCUUGAGAUAUCUCAGGAUACUUCAGUCUCUCUUCCGGAUACUCUGGAUCUCAAUCCAGGAUCACUUCUUGAUGCGAAAGCUAGCUUUGAUGACUUUUCUUCUGGGCUCAAAGAGUCCUUCAGCUCAUCACUAAACCAAGGAGAAAAUGCUGUAAAGAACUCUUUGGAUUCCUUCUCCUCGUCUGUGACAUCUAUUACAAAGAAUGCUUCUGAAGUUGUAGAUGAUGCAUUUAACAGAGCGUUUUCUGCGGUCGACCAAACAGGAGAUAUAGCUGGAGAUAAGUUUUCAAGUUUUUCUACUGGCUUGAAGGAAGCUUCACACAGAGCAGCUGUUAUUGCCAUUGAUCUGUUGAGGCAAUCAGUUAGUAUUGCAGAAAGUUCUGUAACAAAUGGAGUUUCUUUUGUUGUGUACUCUUAUGGGUCAGCAAAAGAUUUAUUUCCUCCAGAUGUUAAGAGUGCCCUUAACUCGUCAGAAGAUGUUGCUCUAAAAGUAUUGAGUCCCGUGGGAGCUGUGUUGCAGCAGGUAUCUGUUGCCAUUGGAGGUUUGGAGAGAAAUUUCGGUUUGGAUCCAGAUGACCCAAUCAUUCACCUUUUUCUAUUCGUAGGCACCACAGGAACCUUUUGGGUUCUAUAUCGGGUUUGGACAUAUGGUGGAUAUGCUGGAGAUUUGUCUCCCAAGUCAACUCUGGACCUUUUAAGAUCAAGAGAAAAGUCAGUGCUCAUAGAUGUCAGGCCUGAAGCCUUGAGAGAGAAAGAUGGAAUCCCUGAUCUGCGGAGAUCAGCUCGAUUUCGAUAUUCUAGCGUGACACUGCCUGAGGUUGACGGUGCUGUCAAACGGCUACUGAAAGGUGGAAGUGAAGUUGAUGAUAUCUUGACAGCAGUAAUCAUCAAGAACUUGAAAAUAGUUCAGGACAGGUCCAAGGUUAUUGUUAUGGAUGCUGAUGGAACUCGUUCGAAGGGUAUUGCGAGAGCCCUGAGAAAAGUUGGGAUUAAGAGACCAUACUUGGUGCAAGGUGGCUUUAGAUCAUGGGUUAAGGAAGGUCUUCGUGUGAAGGAGCCGAAACCUGAGACAACACUUACGAUCCUCAACGAGGAAGCUGAGGCGAUUCUUGAAGACAUAAAUCCUUCUCCAUUGCAACUAGUAGGAGUUGGUGUGAUCUAUCUAUGCAGGGUUUUUUCGCAGCAUUGUAUGCUUUGUCUGAGUGGGAGAAAACACUGCAACUCAUAGCUGUCAUUGGCCUCGGUCUGACUAUAUACCAACGACUUUCUUCAUAUGAUGACUCCGAAGACUUCAAACAAGACGUCAGGCUGUUGCUUGCACCAGUGAGACUCGGAGCUCAGGCUUUCUCAUGGGCUGCAGGAAAACUCGAAACAAAUGGUGUUGGGCUCCCAACUUCACCUUCGUCUUCAGAUGUUCGAAGCCGGGUUUUGCAAGCUGCUGCUAAGCAUGAAUCUAAGCCCUCUGAUGAAACUUCUGAAAGUCUCCAAGAUGCAUCAUCGUCACCAGAAGAAGCUUUGAACAACGUUGAUGUCUCCGAAGCGUAAAGGCUCGAAAAUUGUUUUAUAUUAAUUUGCCAAGAAUUACUUUGUUUUUCGUCUCUUGGAACCGUUAACAUUCAUCAUUGAUACACAACAGAAAAAGUGUAAUUCAAAAACUUUUUCUUUUCGUUC